ACACCUGAGUGAUGCAGUUGUGAAAGUCAUGCAGUGACUAUACGAGGAUCUCUCUGCAGGCUGCAGCCUGAGGCUCAGCUGCCCCCGGAGCAGCUCCCGAGCAACUGAAUUAUGAGCAGAAAGACAGGGAGCUCUUCAGGGAAAGGCUGGAGCAUGAACUUCUCAGGCCCUAGCCCUGAAAACAGACGGCAGAAGAUUAAAGCUGAAAAGCUGAAUGGCAGCUGGUAAAGCUGGUGGUACAUGAAGACCUCAUUGCAGAUGGGAAUGACAUCUGGGCAGCUCUGGUAAAUGAAGAGGUAGUUAUGGAAAAACACUGAUACUGAGCUUCAGCCAGUAACUCCCAUUUUCUGCUUACAGAAAGGUGAGAAGAGGAUGUGGCCUCACUGAUGAAUGCUGGCCACAGGAGUAUGUGAAAUGAGAGUUGAGCUGCCUGACCUUGGUCCUUUCUAUCCGUUAUAAGCUCCACUUGUUUCUACCCGGGUCAAGCAUAGAGAAGAUAUAUGGAUAUAUGGAUUUAGUCUUUGAAAGGAUGCAGAGUGAUCAUUUCAGUGCCUCAAAGCUCGUAGUUGGCUAAUCCCAAAAUCUUCCCAAGUGCCCACCUGGAUGAUGGCCCAUUUAUUACCCAGUCCACUGAGACCCAGAGCUUAAAAGACUGUGUUCUGUCCUCUGAAAGCAUAUUAUCAACACCAUCAGCGAAGGCACCAUGUGGAGGAAGUGCAGCUGAGAAUGCAAGUAAUGAAUGCUGUAUUACAAAGCUGAAUGUUUGCCCACACCUGGGACAUGGCUUUUGUUUUCCUGUGUGCCACCAGACACUGUCACUGCCAGGAAGAAUAUUUUGCUCAGUGAAACUGGGAAGCAAAUAAAUAACAAGAAGGAUAUGCUCACCACCUUGCAGUACAGAACCACGUAGCAAUAUCAGAGCACUAAUGUAAUUUAAACUUCAGCAUUCAGACAAGAACCCGGCAGUCUUAAGACAACAGCAAGAAGUAUGCACUGAUGGAAUCACCUGAGUUGAUAUAUCACCCACCUUGUCCUUUCUGACCACUGUGCUAGAGAAAGCCCCUGAGAUGUCUGAUGCUUCUAUCCAGAUGGAACUCCUAAGGAAGGACAGACAGUAGGAUGGCAAGGAGUGCCCAGACUCUUCU
Pezoporus occidentalis (night parrot) is the source of this 1145-nucleotide long non-coding RNA. RefSeq lists it as uncharacterized. The record is from RefSeq and is a predicted model, not a curated record. NCBI's taxonomy places the organism in Eukaryota, Metazoa, Chordata, Aves, Psittaciformes, Psittacidae. The transcript has 3 exons.